RNAcentral lists this ribosomal RNA (497 nucleotides) under uncultured bacterium. RNAcentral's name for it is "partial 16S ribosomal RNA". It matches the Rfam family "Bacterial small subunit ribosomal RNA", at positions 28 to 507 of the family's 1533-position model. The record is from RNAcentral.
GAUGAACGCUGGCGGCGUGCCUAAUACAUGCAAGUCGAGCGAACAGACGAGGAGCUUGCUCCUCUGACGUUAGCGGCGGACGGGUGAGUAACACGUGGAUAACCUACCUAUAAGACUGGGAUAACUUCGGGAAACCGGAGCUAAUACCGGAUAAUAUAUUGAACCGCAUGGUUCAAUAGUGAAAGACGGUUUUGCUGUCACUUAUAGAUGGAUCCGCGCCGCAUUAGCUAGUUGGUAAGGUAACGGCUUACCAAGGCAACGAUGCGUAGCCGACCUGAGAGGGUGAUCGGCCACACUGGAACUGAGACACGGUCCAGACUCCUACGGGAGGCAGCAGUAGGGAAUCUUCCGCAAUGGGCGAAAGCCUGACGGAGCAACGCCGCGUGAGUGAUGAAGGUCUUCGGAUCGUAAAACUCUGUUAUUAGGGAAGAACAGAUCUGUAAGUAACUAUGCACGUCUUGACGGUACCUAAUCAGAAAGCCACGGCUAACUACGUG